UACGUAGGGUGCAAGCGUUGUUCGGAAUUACUGGGCGUAAAGGGCGCGUAGGCGGGCCUGUGUGUCGAUUGUGAAAGCCCCGAGCUCAACUUGGGAAUUGCAGUCGAAACUGCAGGUCUUGAAUGCCUGAGGGGAUGGCGGAAUUCCCGGUGUAGAAGUGAAAUUCGUAGAUAUCGGGAAGAACACCUGAGGCGAAGGCGGCUAUCUGGCAGUGCAUUGACGCUGAGGCGCGAAAGCGUGGGGAGCAAACAGG
RNAcentral lists this ribosomal RNA (253 nucleotides) under uncultured bacterium. RNAcentral describes it as "partial 16S ribosomal RNA". It matches the Rfam family "Bacterial small subunit ribosomal RNA", at positions 524 to 776 of the family's 1533-position model. The record is from RNAcentral.